CCUGCCCGGGGACGGGUGUCAGUGGUGUGUCUGUGGUGUGUCCGUCUGUCCGUGUCUGUCUGUCCCUGUGCACGCUUCCAGGCGCUGUGCACCCCGCCCCGCUGUUUGCUUCCCCUUUCCCUUCCUCCUCCUCCUCCUCCGGCCGUUUUACCUCUGCCAGCACCGGGUGGGCCGCAGUCAGCCCGGCCGAGGCGCUGGGAGGCUGGGGCAGCGUGGGGGGCGAGCCCGGUGCCCCGCUUGGUGCUCCCCCCUGGGGGUUUCUCCGUAGCUUCUCCUGGCCCCCAGCCUGAGGCCCUGAGCUCUCGCAUUUCCUGCUCCGUACCGGAGUUUCCCGGCCUGACGCUGUUCCGUGGCGGUGGGGGGGGGGGGGGGAGGGGGCCGUGUCCUCGUUUUGGGCUGGUGGCAGCGUCACCCUGCUGCUGUGCCGCGAAGCACGGCUGCGUUCGGAGCCCCCCCGGGAGGGCUCUGCCUGGGGGUGGUUUUGUUCUGGUCCUCUCCAGGCCAACAAAGGGAAUUGUUCUGCCCAGUUCAGCUGCUGGGCCCCAGCACAGGGCCUUGUGCUGUGCUGUGCUGGUGCCCUGGGUGCCCACCCCCGCCCCCCCUUUGCUGCUUCUCCCACACCGCAGGGAGGGGGCAGACAAAGGGCGGCCCUGGAAGGCUGCAGGUAACGAGCUCAAUGAGGCAGAGCCCUGCUGGGGUCACUGGGCUGCUCCGACUCACAGGGGUCUGCUCAAGCUGGGGGGCGUGGGGGGCAGCGGGACACGGACCCAGGGCUCUGUUUGUGUCUGCGCUGAGCUCCCCGCGGGUUUGGCAGCGCCGCGCGGCCUGAGGCUGGAAUUCCAGAAGCAGCCAAAGCCUCGUGUGCAGCUACUGCUCCGAACGGGGCCUGCGCCUGGCUCGGGGGUCCCAGAGCAAAGAUCCCAUCAGCACCGGCCCCCAAUGGAUCCGAGUUGUAAAUUCUGGACAAGCAACAAGCGUUCAGAGCUUUUGUCUCAAACCCUGGCAGUUCCUUUGUUUUGCCUCUUGGCUUUUUUCGGGAGCGGUGGCAGGAUCUCCUGGCAGUUUGCUUCCAGAGGCUGGGAGCCCCCCAAAGCCCCAGUGGCCGCCACGGCUCGUGCAGCAGCGCGGGGAGGAGCAGCCUCGUGGGGAGCCCCUGCAGGGGGGGUGGGGGUGCUGCGGUGCUCCUCUGAGCAUCCUCAGCUUCGGGGGGACUCCAAGGCCAGCGGUGAGCCCCGGCCUGCCCCAUUGACGUCCCUGCAGGGCCCGGUGGGCGCUGUUGUCCCUGCUGGCGCUGGCCGUGGGCCGCUGCGUGAUCUUCAGCUGCGUUUAUUUUUAGUGCCUGAGCUGUGCAGCGCGGCUGGCUUAGGGCUGGUCUUUAUUUUUUUGUUGUUGACGAGCUAUUUUUAG
RNAcentral lists this long non-coding RNA (1407 nucleotides) under Anas platyrhynchos platyrhynchos (common mallard). RNAcentral describes it as "lncRNA (ENSAPLG00000027458.1)". The record is from RNAcentral. Lineage: Eukaryota; Metazoa; Chordata; Aves; Anseriformes; Anatidae.